RNAcentral lists this ribosomal RNA (776 nucleotides) under uncultured bacterium. Its description in RNAcentral is "bacterial SSU rRNA". It matches the Rfam family "Bacterial small subunit ribosomal RNA", at positions 65 to 830 of the family's 1533-position model. The record is from RNAcentral.
AGCGGGGCGGCAGGGUUGCCUGCCGCCGCCGGCGACCGGCGCACGGGUGAGUAACACGUAUGCAACCUGCCCGUGGCAGGGGGAUAAGCGGGGGAAACCCCGUCUAAUACCGCGUAACGCGGCCUAGGGACAUCCCAAGGCCGCCAAAGGGAGCAAUCCCGGCCACGGAUGGGCAUGCGGCGCAUUAGCUAGUCGGCGGGGUAACGGCCCACCGAGGCGACGAUGCGUAGGGGUUCUGAGAGGAAGGCCCCCCACACUGGUACUGAGACACGGACCAGACUCCUACGGGAGGCAGCAGUGAGGAAUAUUGGUCAAUGGGCGCGAGCCUGAACCAGCCAAGUCGCGUGAGGGAGGACGGCCCUACGGGUUGUAAACCUCUUUUGCCGGGGAGCAACGGGCGCCACGUGUGGCGCCACUGAGAGUACCCGGAGAAAAAGCAUCGGCUAACUCCGUGCCAGCAGCCGCGGUAAUACGGAGGAUGCGAGCGUUAUCCGGAUUUAUUGGGUUUAAAGGGUGCGUAGGCGGAUCGUUAAGUCAGUGGUCAAAUUGAGGGGCUCAACCCCUUCCCGCCAUUGAAACUGGCGCUCUUGAGUGGAAGAGAAGUAUGCGGAAUGCGUGGUGUAGCGGUGAAAUGCAUAGAUAUCACGCAGAACCCCGAUUGCGAAGGCAGCAUGCCGGCUUCCUACUGACGCUGAAGCACGAAAGCGUGGGGAUCGAACAGGAUUAGAUACCCUGGUAGUCCACGCGGUAAACGAUGAGCGCUAGGUGUCCGGGGG